This 475-nucleotide ribosomal RNA is filed under the name uncultured bacterium. Its description in RNAcentral is "bacterial SSU rRNA". It matches the Rfam family "Bacterial small subunit ribosomal RNA", at positions 328 to 793 of the family's 1533-position model. The record is from RNAcentral.
CGCUAUCACUCCUACGGGAGGCAGCAGUGGGGAAGUUUGGACAAUGGGGGCAACCCUGAUCCAGCCAUUCCGCGUGAGUGAAGAAGGCCUUCGGGUUGUAAAGCUCUUUCGGCAGGAACGAAACGGCGAGCUCUAACAUAGCUUGCUAAUGACGGUACCUGAAGAAGAAGCACCGGCUAACUACGUGCCAGCAGCCGCGGUAAUACGUAGGGUGCGAGCGUUAAUCGGAAUUACUGGGCGUAAAGCGUGCGCAGGCGGUUGUGUAAGACAGGUGUGAAAUCCCCGGGCUUAACCUGGGAACUGCGCUUGUGACUGCACGGCUAGAGUAUGGCAGAGGGGGGUGGAAGUUCCACGUGUAGCAGUGAAAUGCGUAGAGAUGUGGAGGAACACCGAUGGCGAAGGCAGCCCCCUCGGGCCAAUACUGACGCUCAUGCACGAAAGCGUGGGGAGCAAACAGGAUUAGAUACCCUGGUAG